GUAAAAUCAGGAAGGGCAGCCCACUUCUUGGAAUUUUCUUGGAAUUUCAUUUAUACAUUUGAUGGGGGCUUUCUAUAGAGUAUUGCUACUAUUUUGUACAUACAGGACUCACAAUUGGUUUGAAUAAUCAAUUUUUUUGGGGUCAGGUCAGGGUCUUUCUUCUUUCUUGGUCUGAUUGCUGGCUUCUUGAUCACUUGUGGAUCGAUCAAUGGAAACGGGAGAAAUGGGUCUUGUGGAAUUGUUCGGCUAUGACAAAGAAUUAAAUUUAAUUCCUCCUCCAGUAACAUCGGAUAAUUGGGGUUGGCUAGACGAUGAACGCGAGGACAUGACAGAAGAGGAAUACUGCUCUUACAGGGAUCAAGUUUUGAAGAGUGAUGGCUUUGAUGUUGACCGCAUUCCUGGCGUCGCUUGUUUUCACCAAAUUCAGCCUUACAACGUGGACAAAAAGACUUGGGAUUACGAAGGGUAUUCGCGGCUUGCAAUCGAGGAAUACAACUUUCGCUUCAAGGAUGGAGAUGCAGGGUUGGAGUUUGUAAAGGUGCUGAAGGCAAUGGGUCAGACUGCCAACGCAAUGAGGUUUUAUUUAACCCUUGAGGCUAGGGAUCUUGCUGAUGGAGGCAAGACUAAGAUCUAUCAAGCUGUGGUAUUAUCGGGGGUAACUGAGGAUACAGUGUCAUCCUUUAGGCUAAAACCUCCUGAAGAUGAGAAAGUGGACAUGCAGUGAUCACCUUCACAUUGUUGCAAUUAUUGUAUUUUCACACUACCCUUUCCAGUUUGCAAAGAGGUAUGCUAUCCUUCUAAGUGUAAUCCAAGCUGACCAAACUUUUUCAAGUAUAUGUGGUAGUCUACCAAAUACUCUAAAAGAGAGUUACUUCCCUGGGGUCUAAGAACAUGACAGAGAGAAUGAAUGAACCGUGAAUUUUCUUUUCCUGGAAGUUUUUGGAGGGCUACUCUUAACUUUGAUCAGUUGCAGUCAUGGAAAAGAAUGGUUUUGGGAAGAUCAUCUUUGUAGUGGUCUGAUAUGUUGAGUUUGACCAGAAGACUUUUCUGGGGGUGUCAAGUUGACGGAGUUUAAGAUGGUUGUUAGAAAGAUGACUUGUGUAAGCUAAAUGCAAAGACAAUUUUUUAGUGUUUACUUAGUCGUUGGAAUGCUGGUAUAAUAUUGGUUGCUUGAUUUUGUUUGCAAGACUGGUUUAAUCGUAUGUGGGUAGUUGCAGUGUAUGGUACCUCUAGAACUCCUUCACGGCACCGUAGUUGCAAUGUAUGGUAUAAUUUUUAAUAUUAUAUUUUUUUUGGGAUUUAAAAAAGUUGAAUGUUUAUUAUAUUU
This is an RNA transcript of Carya illinoinensis, 1327 nucleotides long. RefSeq lists it as uncharacterized. NCBI's taxonomy places the organism in Eukaryota, Viridiplantae, Streptophyta, Magnoliopsida, Fagales, Juglandaceae. The record is from RefSeq and is a predicted model, not a curated record. The transcript is spliced from 6 exons.